RNAcentral lists this ribosomal RNA (468 nucleotides) under uncultured bacterium. Its description in RNAcentral is "partial 16S ribosomal RNA". It matches the Rfam family "Bacterial small subunit ribosomal RNA", at positions 28 to 507 of the family's 1533-position model. The record is from RNAcentral.
GACGAACGCUGGCGGCGCGCCUAACACAUGCAAGUCGAACGGAGCGGAGAUGAUCUUGCUUUGCUUAGCUGAGUGGCAAACGGGUGAGUAACGCGUGAGUAACCUGCCCUGCAUUGGGGUACAACAGGUGGAAACGACUGCUAAUACCGCAUAAGCCCACGAUCCAGCGUCGGGUUUGGGGAAAUGGAGUGAUUCGGUUCAGGCUGGACGCGCGUCCACUUAGCGAGUUGGUGAGGUAACGGCCCACCAAUGCCACGAUUGGUGGCCGGACGGAGAGGUUGACAGGCCACAUUGGGACUGCGACACGGCCCAGACCGGUAGGGGAGGCAGGAGUGGGGGAUAUUGCAGAAUGGGGGAAAACCCGACGCAGCGACGCGGCGUGGAGGAAGAAGGUUUUCGGAUUGUAAACUCCUGUCGUAAGGGACGAUAAUGACGGUAAUUAACAAGAAAGCACCGGCUAACUACGUG